RNAcentral lists this unclassified non-coding RNA (324 nucleotides) under uncultured fungus. RNAcentral describes it as "partial contains small subunit ribosomal RNA, internal transcribed spacer 1, and 5.8S ribosomal RNA". The stretch from base 1 to 73 matches the Rfam family "Eukaryotic small subunit ribosomal RNA", at positions 1759 to 1831 of the family's 1831-position model. Lineage: Eukaryota; Fungi. The record is from RNAcentral.
GCAAACUUGGUCAUUUAGAGGAAGUAAAAGUCGUAACAAGGUUUCCGUAGGUGAACCUGCGGAAGGAUCAUUACCAAAAUUGUCCUAAUGGAUAAUUUUAUCCAUAUCCACCUUGUGUGAAUCACUGACGUGUUUGUUGGCAGGUUUAAAAGCUCUCCUAUACUGGACUGCUGUGAGUAACGACAUUCAGUCUGCGCUCGGCCUGCCAAUUUUAUUAUUUACAAUUAAACUUGUCUAAAUACACUGGUCUGAAAUACAUACUUUAUAAUAAAAACAACUUUCAACAACGGAUCUCUUGGCUCUCGCAUCGAUGAAGAACGCAGC